GAUGAACGCUGGCGGCGUGCCUAAUACAUGCAAGUCGAGCGAACAGACGAGGAGCUUGCUCCUCUGACGUUAGCGGCGGAUGGGUGAGUAACACGUGGAUAACCUACCUAUAAGACUGGGAUAACUUCGGGAAACCGGAGCUAAUACCGGAUAACACGUUGAACCGCAUGGUUUAACAGUGAAAGACGGUCUUGCUGUCACUUAUAGAUGGAUCCGCGCCGCAUUAGCUAGUUGGUAAGGUAACGGCUUACCAAGGCAACGAUGCGUAGCCGACCUGAGAGGGUGAUCGGCCACACUGGAACUGAGACACGGUCCAGACUCCUACGGGAGGCAGCAGUAGGGAAUCUUCAGCAAUGGGCGAAAGCCUGACGGAGCAACGCCGCGUGAGUGAAGAAGGUCUUCGGAUCGUAAAACUCUGUUAUUAGGGAAGAACAAAUGUGUAAGUAACUAUGCACGUCUUGACGGUACCUAAUCAGAAAGCCACGGCUAACUACGUG
Molecule: ribosomal RNA, 497 nt
Filed under: uncultured bacterium
Lineage: Bacteria
Description: partial 16S ribosomal RNA
Rfam family: Bacterial small subunit ribosomal RNA
Source: RNAcentral